RNAcentral lists this transfer RNA (74 nucleotides) under Lactococcus lactis. RNAcentral describes it as "tRNA-Met". It matches the Rfam family "tRNA". From Rfam's summary of the family: Transfer RNA (tRNA) molecules are approximately 80 nucleotides in length. Their secondary structure includes four short double-helical elements and three loops (D, anti-codon, and T loops). Lineage: Bacteria; Bacillati; Bacillota; Bacilli; Lactobacillales; Streptococcaceae. The record is from RNAcentral.
GGUUCUUUAACUCAGUUGGUCAGAGCUAACGUCUCAUAACCGUUCGGUCGCUGGUUCGAGUCCAGCAAGAACCA